AUGAUGAUUCAUGCUUCUUUUUACAGAAGUAACACCAAUUACAAUUUCUGUGGAAAUAUUCAAAGUCCAUCUCAACUGUCUAUCUCCCUAAUUUUGGUGCUAUCAGAAAAGAAAGGAGAAUUGACAAGGAUGGUUGUACUGCUCGUCACUUAUACACAAAGUUGGCACAAUGGAUCCUAGCUUCAGUGUGAGCCAACAGCAACACACUAGCCUAUGAGAAAGAGGACGCAUGGAAACGAGGCAGCAAGUGACAUUCUUGAGCACCUGUAAGCACUGGGUAAUCUGCAAGGUGAUUCACCAACGUUAUCUUCCCUCCAUCAUGAUAAUAAAGGUUUGCAGUAGCGACCUGAAUCUCUCCAGGAUAAAAUUGCAAGAAAAUGCACUGGCUCCAAGAACCUUGUGAAAAGUCGCCUAGAAACUCAUUGGUAUGGAAAGGACGGAUAUUGAACGCCUUGAAAGCAGCGGCUUCGUGGAAUCCCAGAGGAUUUAAAUGCAUAAACAUGAGCCUUCUGAUGUUUGGGAACCAUUGCAGCCCAUAUAAAUAAAUCAUCUGCAAAACAGUAACUUGAAAAAAAUACAAAAGGAGAUAGGAAAAUG
RNAcentral lists this long non-coding RNA (597 nucleotides) under Sus scrofa (pig). RNAcentral's name for it is "lncRNA (ENSSSCG00065050367.1)". Lineage: Eukaryota; Metazoa; Chordata; Mammalia; Artiodactyla; Suidae. The record is from RNAcentral.